GUUUUGUUGUGAAUUACCGUUGUAAUCUGACUUUUAAUCAGGUGGUCCGGGGUUCGAGCCCCCGCCGGCCCACCA
RNAcentral lists this transfer RNA (75 nucleotides) under Deltaproteobacteria bacterium. RNAcentral describes it as "tRNA-Lys". The record is from RNAcentral. Lineage: Bacteria; Pseudomonadati; Myxococcota; Myxococcia.